GACGAACGCUGGCGGCGUGCUUAACACAUGCAAGUCGAACGGUGAAGGGAUCAGCUUGCUGGUUCUGGAUGAGUGGCGAACGGGUGAGUAACACGUGAGUAACCUGCCCCCUUCUUCUGGAUAACCGCAUGAAAGUGUGGCUAAUACGGGAUAUUCUGGGUCUGUCGCAUGAUGGGUCUGGGAAAGAUAUUGUUUCGGUGGGGGAUGGGCUCGCGGCCUUUCGGCUUGUGGGUGGGGUGAUGGCCUCCCAAGGCGGUGAAGGGUAGCCGGGCGGAGAGGGUGGACGGUUAGACUGGGACUGAGACACAGCCUAGACUCGUACGGGAGGCAGCAGUAGGGUAUAUUGCAGGAGGGGCGCAAGCCUGAUGCAGCGACGCCGCGUGAGGGAGGGAGGCCUUCGGGUUGUAAACCUCUUUCGCCAGUGAAGCAGGCCUGCUCCUUGUGGGUGGGUUGACGGUAGCUGGAUAAGAAGCGCCGGCUAACUACGUG
This 489-nucleotide ribosomal RNA is filed under the name uncultured bacterium. Its description in RNAcentral is "partial 16S ribosomal RNA". It matches the Rfam family "Bacterial small subunit ribosomal RNA", at positions 28 to 507 of the family's 1533-position model. The record is from RNAcentral.